This 253-nucleotide ribosomal RNA is filed under the name uncultured bacterium. RNAcentral describes it as "partial 16S ribosomal RNA". It matches the Rfam family "Bacterial small subunit ribosomal RNA", at positions 524 to 776 of the family's 1533-position model. The record is from RNAcentral.
UACGUAGGGUGCAAGCGUUAAUCGGAAUUACUGGGCGUAAAGCGUGCGCAGGCGGUUCUAUAAGACAGAUGGGAAAUCCCCGGGCUCAACCUGGGAACUGCAUUUGUGACUGUAGAGCUGGAGUACGGUAGAGGGGGAUGGAAUUCCGCGUGUAGCAGUGAAAUGCGUAGAUAUGCGGAGGAACACCGAUGGCGAAGGCAAUCCCCUGGACCUGUACUGACGCUCAUGCACGAAAGCGUGGGGAGCAAACAGG